This 383-nucleotide long non-coding RNA is filed under the name Selaginella moellendorffii. RNAcentral describes it as "long non-coding RNA (SMOE_LNC000758)". The record is from RNAcentral. Lineage: Eukaryota; Viridiplantae; Streptophyta; Lycopodiopsida; Selaginellales; Selaginellaceae.
CGGCGUGAGGAUCUACACGCCAAGCAAACACACGCCUCCAUAUUAGCCAUAGUAAUCUUUCAAUUCCAUGAGCGAUCUUCUCCUUAGUUCUUGCCGCAAGUGCACACGCCCGUCUGUGCGCACUUGUCGCAGGUAUCGGUACCCACGGUGCGGUUCUUGCCGCAAGUGCAAACCCCGGUUUGAGCGCACUUGUCGCAAGUGUCCACGCCCUCCACGCGGUUCUUCCCGCAGGUGCAAACCCCGGUUUGGGCGCACUUGUCACAGGUUGCCACUCCAACCGGGGCGGCAAAGUUCGCACCGCUGCGAGAGCAAAUCACCUUUUCAGUGAGGGAUGCAUGGAGAGAUUCGCGAGAGUUUCACCUGAAGUCUCCGGCGGUGCUCAG